Molecule: ribosomal RNA, 468 nt
Filed under: uncultured bacterium
Lineage: Bacteria
Description: partial 16S ribosomal RNA
Rfam family: Bacterial small subunit ribosomal RNA
Source: RNAcentral
GACGAACGCUGGCGGCGUGCUUAACACAUGCAAGUCGAACGGAAAGGCCCUGCUUUUGUGGGGUGCUCGAGUGGCGAACGGGUGAGUAACACGUGAGUAACCUGCCCUUGACUUUGGGAUAACUUCAGGAAACUGGGGCUAAUACCGGAUAGGAGCUCCUGCUGCAUGGUGGGGGUCGGAAAGUUUCGGAGGUUGGGGAUGGACUCGCGGCUUAUCAGCUUGUUGGUGGGGUAGUGGCUUACCAAGGCUUUGACGGGUAGCCGGCCUGAGAGGGUGACCGGCCACAUUGGGACUGAGAUACGGCCCGGACUCCUACGGGAGGCAGCAGUGGGGAAUAUUGCACGAUGGGCGGAAGCCUGAUGCAGCAACGCCGCGUGCGGGAUGACGGCCUUCGGUUUGUAAACCGCUUUCGCCUGUGACGAAGCGUGAGUGACGGUAAUGGGUAAAGAAGCACCGGCUAACUACGUG